GAUGAACGCUGGCGGCGUGCCUAAUACAUGCAAGUCGAGCGAACGGACGAGAAGCUUGCUUUUCUGAUGUUAGCGGCGGACGGGUGAGUAACACGUGGAUAACCUACCUAUAAGACUGGGAUAACUUCGGGAAACCGGAGCUAAUACCGGAUAAUAUUUUGAACCGCAUGGUUCAAAAGUGAAAGACGGUCCUGCUGUCACUUAUAGAUGGUUCCGCGCUGCAUUAGCUAGUUGGUAAGGUAACGGCUUACCAAGGCAACGAUGCAUAGCCGACCUGAGAGGGUGAUCGGCCACACUGGAACUGAGACACGGUCCAGACUCCUACGGGAGGCAGCAGUAGGGAAUCUUCCGCAAUGGGCGAAAGCCUGACGGAGCAACGCCGCGUGAGUGAUGAAGGUCUUCGGAUCGUAAAACUCUGUUAUUAGGGAAGAACAUAUGUGUAAGUAACUGUGCACAUCUUGACGGUACCUAAUCAGAAAGCCACGGCUAACUACGUG
RNAcentral lists this ribosomal RNA (497 nucleotides) under uncultured bacterium. Its description in RNAcentral is "partial 16S ribosomal RNA". It matches the Rfam family "Bacterial small subunit ribosomal RNA", at positions 28 to 507 of the family's 1533-position model. The record is from RNAcentral.